AUACGGAGGAUCCGAGCGUUAUCCGGAUUUAUGGGUUUAAAGGGUGCGUAGCGGAAGAAUAAGUCAGUGGUGAAAGUUUGCAGCUCAACUGUAAAAUUGCCGUUGAAACUGUUUUUCUUGAGUGUAAAUGAGGUAGGCGGAAUGUGUUGUGUAGCGGUGAAAUGCAUAGAUAUCACGCAGAACUCCGAUUGCGAAGGCAGCUUACUAAGCUACAACUGACACUGAAGCACGAAAGCGUGGGGAUC
RNAcentral lists this ribosomal RNA (245 nucleotides) under uncultured bacterium. RNAcentral describes it as "partial 16S ribosomal RNA". It matches the Rfam family "Bacterial small subunit ribosomal RNA", at positions 523 to 769 of the family's 1533-position model. The record is from RNAcentral.